GGGUCGCGCCUUCUGCGGUCGCCGCUCGUGUCCGUGCUCGAUAUAAAGGCUUGUCCUGCGGGCGUCAGGCAGUCGAGACUGACAUCUGCUGUGAGAAGCCUCUGUAUUCAGAAAGUACCCCAUCUGUCGCCAUGUCAUACACCGGACGCACAAGGGACGCACGCUUCAACGUGUCCAACGUGUGCAAGGACAAGGCCGAGAUGAAGGCCGAGGAACUGUGUGACGAGAAGAAGGACCAGGAAGUCCAAGACGCGAACGAGGGUGACACAACCUCCGUUGGCGGUGAGGGCAACGAGGGAGACACCGAAACCUCUUCUCUGCAUUCGAGUAAUUAGGGUCAGACUACACUCAACCACCGUCAAGAUAUUACGCUAUCAUUUUCUUCACCACGCUCAACCAGGGGCCAAAAGUAGAUUCGACUCCUCACUACACUCUCCCUUUACCAAGAAGUAACAAGGAUCCUUCUCUAACAUGCCUACUUACGCCAAGGUGUAUAAGUGAUCUUUCUCUCACAACACCCUACGUCGAAAACUAGAUUGGAUCUGUCACUUGCCACACUCAGAGCAGUGUAUAGUAUUAAUUUUCUCGACAAACUACCAACGGCCAUACGUAGGUUAGGAUCUGUCUCUCGCUGCAUGCUCAGGAAACAGAGAGAAUCCAUUUAUUUGAAGACAUGCGCGCCCAAAAAGGGGUCUCAGACCAAUUGUCCGGAAAUAUGUUUAUUAAAUGUUUUUUUUCCAGCUUAAACCUUCAUCUCUACAAUGUGAACAUCGAAAUAUUCACGAGAAUGCAUUCUAUCUCAGGAGUGUAGUGCAUUAAAGUGAAGAAACUGUUGUUUAUGUUUAUAGAUGAAAGCUUCAACCUUCAUCUAUGAGCAUCGACAUAUUCACGAGAAUGCAUUCUAUCUCAUGACUGUAAUGCAUUUAAACGAAAAUAUUGAUGUUUAUGUGUAUAGAUGAAAGCUUAGAUUAACAAUAUAUUUAAUUAUUGCAGUUGGCUUGGAAAAAUACCUUUGGACACGUAUUCCUUCGUUUGUUCUUCAUCGUUUUGACUGUCAGCACACGGCACAGAUAAAAACACAAAUAAAGCGAAGGAUUAA
Penaeus chinensis is the source of this 1099-nucleotide long non-coding RNA. RefSeq lists it as uncharacterized. The record is from RefSeq and is a predicted model, not a curated record. NCBI's taxonomy places the organism in Eukaryota, Metazoa, Arthropoda, Malacostraca, Decapoda, Penaeidae. The transcript has 4 exons.